This is a non-coding RNA of Microstroma glucosiphilum, 88 nucleotides long. The record is from the annotation of a RefSeq genome assembly. Lineage: Eukaryota; Fungi; Basidiomycota; Exobasidiomycetes; Microstromatales; Microstromataceae.
GGUUCCAUGGUGUAGCGGUAGCAUGCUUGCUUUGGGCCGCGCGUUCUCCAAUUGCAAGAGGUCAUCGGUUCAAUCCCGGUUGGAGCCC